UACGAAGGGGGCUAGCGUUGCUCGGAAUUACUGGGCGUAAAGCGCACGUAGGCGGAUUGCUAAGUCAGGGGUGAAAUCCUGGAGCUCAACUCCAGAACUGCCUUUGAUACUGGCAACCUUGAGUCCGGGAGAGGUGAGUGGAACUGCGAGUGUAGAGGUGAAAUUCGUAGAUAUUCGCAAGAACACCAGUGGCGAAGGCGGCUCACUGGCCCGGUACUGACGCUGAGGUGCGAAAGCGUGGGGAGCAAACAGG
This 253-nucleotide ribosomal RNA is filed under the name uncultured bacterium. Its description in RNAcentral is "partial 16S ribosomal RNA". It matches the Rfam family "Bacterial small subunit ribosomal RNA", at positions 524 to 776 of the family's 1533-position model. The record is from RNAcentral.